Molecule: ribosomal RNA, 428 nt
Filed under: uncultured bacterium
Lineage: Bacteria
Description: bacterial SSU rRNA
Rfam family: Bacterial small subunit ribosomal RNA
Source: RNAcentral
GGGCCCGCACAAGCGGUGGAGCAUGUGGUUUAAUUCGAUGCAACGCGAAGAACCUUACCAGGGCUUGACAUACUGCGAAUCUCCUUGAAAGGGGAGAGUGCCUUCGGGAAUGCAGAUACAGGUGGUGCAUGGCUGUCGUCAGCUCGUGUCGUGAGAUGUUGGGUUAAGUCCCGCAACGAGCGCAACCCUUGUUUUUAGUUACCAGCACUUUAAGGUGGGCACUUUAGGGAUACUGCCAGUGACAAACUGGAGGAAGGCGGGGACGACGUCAAGUCAUCAUGGCCCUUACGACCAGGGCUACACACGUGCUACAAUGGCAAGUACAGAGGGUCGCUAACCUGCGAAGGUAUGCUAAUCUCAAAAAGCUUGUCGUAGUCCGGAUCGGAGUCUGCAACUCGACUCCGUGAAGUCGGAAUCGCUAGUAAUCG